RNAcentral lists this unclassified non-coding RNA (260 nucleotides) under uncultured fungus. Its description in RNAcentral is "partial contains 5.8S ribosomal RNA, internal transcribed spacer 2, and large subunit ribosomal RNA". The record is from RNAcentral. Lineage: Eukaryota; Fungi.
AACGCAUAUUUGCGCCCUUUGGUAUUCCGAAGGGCAUGCCUGUUCGAGCGUCAUUAUCACCAUAUCAAGCUUGGCUUGUUGUUGGGCCCUUCUGUCACCUGGUGACAGGUCCAAAAGACAAUAACUGGUGUCAUACAGACUCUAUAUGCAACGAGCUUAUAACAGCACGCAUCUGGUGGUCGUAUGGCCCGGUUUUCACUUUGAUAAAUAAAUUUCUCAAGGUUGACCUCGGAUCAGGUAGGAAUACCCGCUGAACUUAA